UGGAGGUCAUAAUACCCAUGUAUAAUCCAAAAAUAUAUAUAUUACUGAACGUAUACGCAAAAUAUCUAAAUGUUUGUGAACUUGUGUUAUUGAGAUUUUUUUUUUCAUUUGCCUAAUUGAGCCAUUUUGGACGGAAAUAUGUUUAAACUAUUUGUAGGUCAUGUUUAAAUAAAUAUUUAACAUGUUAUUUUAAAUUUCAAAAGAAAAAGAGAUUUUCAAAUAAAUUUCAAAAGAAAAGGAGUUUUUCAAAUUGAAGUCUGAUUUACUUGUACUAGCAUAUGCUAAAAACAUUGAUGUCACUGAUGUCUAGACCAAAAUCCAUAUACAUCUUUAUAACGGUUGUAUUCACUGUUAAAAUAAUUUGGCUCUUGAAACAAAAAGUGUUGUGUGACAUGGUCCCUCAGUUUCAUAAAUAUGUGCUGUAUAUUUUUAGAAGAAAAAUAUUAUUUAAAUAUAUAUAUAUAUAUAUAUAUAUAUAUUUGUAUUUCAAUAAUUUUUUAUCAACUAUUAAUGAUUUAGCCGAAAAAGUGAUGAAGAUUAAAAUAUAAAGAGUUUUGGUUUUCGGAAAAAGGCACACAUGCAGAGUAAACACACAUAAUUUAGAGCAGUCUGAUCUCUAAAGUGUGCUCUUAGAUCAAUGACAAAAGUUUGACCAAAAAAAAAAAAAAAAAAAAGAUCAAUGACAAAAUAAUAUCAGACACGUAUCUAAUACAUUUUCUUUGUUAUUCUUGUGUGCAGAGCCGGGCCUCACAUAUGCAAGGCUAGACGAAACUAAAAUAUUUUUGACCCUGUAAGCAAUUUAUUUUUAGAAAAUAGCGGUAUGAUACUAAACUUGACUCAAACUCAGAACCCUACGCACUUAACUAACUAAGUUUUACCAUCUGAACUAACUGAUCUUCAACAAAAUUUACCCCUAUAUUAUUUUAAGCAUACCGCCCGCGAGCUAAUGAUUGAUCAGCUUCUAUUAAGUACCAGCCCUGCUUGUGUGUGUUGAUAAACGAGUUAUUCUUGGGUUCACCCCCUAGGGUGAACCUCUAGGUUCACCAACCAAUAGGAUUAUGCUAUUUCAAAUUUGAUAUCUUUUAAAAAAGGAAACAAAAUAUUGUCAUUUUAUUUUAUGUUUUUAAAAUAAAAAGGUAAAAAAAUAGUAGUUACAAAAAAAAGAUUUUUUUUUUUAAAUAUUGUUAACGUCGUCAGCAAAACACUAAACCCUAAAUCCUAAUCCCUAAACCCUAAAUCUGAAACCCUAAACCCUUGGGUAAAUCCUAAACCCUUGGGUAAACCCUAAACCCUUGGAUAAACCCUAAACCCUUGGGUAAAUCCUAAACCCUUGGGUAAAUCCUAAACCCUUGGAUAAAUCAUAAAUUUUAAAUCAAAAACACUAAACACUAAAAUCUUAAACCCUUGAGUGUUUUAGUGUUUAAUGUUUUUGAUUUAGAGUUUAUGAUUUAUCCAAAGAUUUAUGGUUUAUCCAAGGGUUUAGGGUUUCGGAUUUAGGGAUUAGGAUUUAGGGUUUAGUUUUUUUCCUGACGACUUAAAUUUUUUUUUUUUGUAAUUACUAUUAUUUUUAUUUUUUAUCUUUUUAUUUUAAAAAUCUAAUAUAAUUUGACAAUAUUUUGUUUCCUUUUAUAAAAGAUAUCAAAUUUGAAAUAACAUAAUCCUAUUGGUUGGUGAACCUAGAGGUUCACCCUAGGGGGUGAACCCAAGAAUAAGUCUUGAUAAACUGUGUUUUUACCAAAUUUUUCUUUUCUCAAGUUAAACUAUAUGUAUUUUUGAAUAUUUUGCUUUUUAUCAAGUUUUUUCAAGUUUAGAUCUAUUUAAAGGAAAACGUCAUUUAAAAAGUAAACAAACAUAUGGAAGUACAAGAUUGUGCAGAGGUAUCAAAAGUCUGAUAUUGAAUUAAAAAGAUUUCACUGAUGGAUAGAGAUUAAUCUAAC
This 1937-nucleotide long non-coding RNA is filed under the name Brassica rapa (field mustard). RNAcentral's name for it is "long non-coding RNA (BRAP_LNC003756)". Lineage: Eukaryota; Viridiplantae; Streptophyta; Magnoliopsida; Brassicales; Brassicaceae. The record is from RNAcentral.